RNAcentral lists this ribosomal RNA (216 nucleotides) under uncultured bacterium. RNAcentral describes it as "partial 16S ribosomal RNA". It matches the Rfam family "Bacterial small subunit ribosomal RNA", at positions 15 to 228 of the family's 1533-position model. The record is from RNAcentral.
GAUCAUGGCUCAGGACGAACGCUGGCGGCACGCUUAACACAUGCAAGUCGAACGGAGAACAUUGAGCUUGCUUAAUGUUCUUAGUGGCGGACGGGUGAGUAACACGUGAGUAACCUGCCUCUGAGAGUGGGAUAGCUUCUGGAAACGGAUGGUAAUACCGCAUAACAUCAUGGAUUCGCAUGUUUCUAUGAUCAAAGAUUUAUCGCUCAGAGAUGG